This 1522-nucleotide ribosomal RNA is filed under the name uncultured bacterium. RNAcentral's name for it is "bacterial SSU rRNA". It matches the Rfam family "Bacterial small subunit ribosomal RNA". The record is from RNAcentral.
AGAGUUUGAUCCUGGCUCAGAUUGAACGCUGGCGGCAUGCCUUACACAUGCAAGUCGAACGCGAAAGGGGGGCAACUCCUGAGUAGAGUGGCGAACGGAUGAGUAACACAUCGGAACGUGCCUGGUAGUGGGGGAUAACCUCUCGAAAGAGAGGCUAAUACCGCAUGAGACCUGAGGGUGAAAGCGGGGGACCGGCGACGGCCUCGCGCUACUGGAGCGGCCGAUGUCCGAUUAGCUAGUUGGUGGGGUAACGGCCCACCAAGGCUGCGAUCGGUAGCUGGUCUGAGAGGACGACCAGCCACACUGGAACUGAGACACGGUCCAGACUCCUACGGGAGGCAGCAGUGGGGAAUUUUGGACAAUGGGGGCAACCCUGAUCCAGCCAUGCCGCGUGGGUGAAGAAGGCCUUCGGGUUGUAAAGCCCUUUCGGCGGGGACGAAAUCGGUCGGGUGAAUAGCCUUGCUGGAUGACGGCACCCGCAGAAGAAGCACCGGCUAACUACGUGCCAGCAGCCGCGGUAAUACGUAGGGUGCAGGCGUUAAUCGGAAUUACUGGGCGUAAAGCGUGCGCAGGCGGUCUCUUAAGACAGGUGUGAAAUCCCCGGGCUUACCUGGGAACUGCGCUUGUUACUGGGAGGCUGGAGUGUGGCAAGGGGGGUGGAAUUCCACGUGUACAUGAAAAUGCGUAAAGAUGUGGAGGAACACCGAUGCAAGCAGCCCCCUGGGCUAACACUGACCUCAUGCACAAACUGUUGGGGACAACAGGAUUAAAUACCCCUGGUAGUCCACGCCCUAAACUUAUGUCAACUGGUUGUCGGGGAAGCCAAUUCCUUGGUAACGAAGCUAACGCGUGAAGUUGACCGCCUGGGGAGUACGGCCGCAAGGUUAAAACUCAAAGGAAUUGACGGGGACCCGCACAAGCGGUGGAUUAUGUGGAUUAAUUCGAUGCAACGCGAAAAACCUUACCUACCCUUGACAUGUGAGGAACCUCUCAGAGAUGGGAGGGUGCCCGAAAGGGAGCCUCAACACAGGUGCUGCAUGGCUGUCGUCAGCUCGUGUCGUGAGAUGUUGGGUUAAGUCCCGCAACGAGCGCAACCCUUGCCAUUAGUUGCUACGUUUCGGACGAGCACUCUAAUGGGACUGCCGGUGACAAACCGGAGGAAGGCGGGGAUGACGUCAAGUCCUCAUGGCCCUUAUGGGUAGGGCUUCACACGUAAUACAAUGGCCGGUACAGAGGGCAGCCAACCCGCGAGGGGGAGCUAAUCCCAGAAAGCCGGUCGUAGUCCGGAUUGCAGUCUGCAACUCGACUGCAUGAAGCCGGAAUCGCUAGUAAUCGCGGAUCAGCAUGCCGCGGUGAAUACGUUCCCGGGUCUUGUACACACCGCCCGUCACACCAUGGGAGUGGGUUUCACCAGAAGUAGUUAGCCUAACCGCAAGGAGGGCGACUACCACGGUGAGAUUCAUGACUGGGGUGAAGUCGUAACAAGGUAGCCGUAUCGGAAGGUGCGGCUGGAUCACCUCCU